UCGAAUCCGACCAGGAUCUGCUCACUGUAAAUCUAAGCCUACUAUAUAUGGCUCAACUUGCAAUCGAGGAAGAGCAACAUGAGGCGAAGCAGCCAUGGAAGCACCCUUUCAAUAGGUCAGUUUCCCCUUGUAACGUGGCCUUGUUUGCGUCGGCCCACCCAAGAAGCCACGGAUAAGCUUAUCCAAUGCCCUCUCCUUAUUACCAAUGGUGACCCCUUUCGGGUCCUUAUAACAUUAAGAACGUAGUCUUCAUUGAGCUAUAGAACAGCAGUUGGUCAUCAGAUGGGUGGGGUCGAUGGUGGUUCCUCUGUCUCAGCAAUGGCUCUUAGUUAUUUUGGCUUCCGCAACAACAAGCAGGAGGAGGGAGGAGUGCAGCAAGAAACAGAGAGCAUGAGGAAGACGAUGGGGAAGAGGAGAGAGGAGGAGGAGGAAGGAAAGGCGAGGAAGAGUUCGGAGGCCAGUGGAAGGGCAGCCCGAUUUGCAGUGGAGUUGGAUGGCCUGCACUGCUUCGAGACCUUGAUAGCUCAUUAAUGGACACUAAAGGUUUUAGAUUUCAUACAUAAGUCAACAUAAUCAAUCCUAAACUUCUACUUCUUCUUCUUCUUCUUCUUCCUUUUGUUGUGCUCGAAGGUUGUCAUUCAUCAGAGGUAGUAUCAUCGAGUAUUCAAGCCCUAUGUUACUUUCUUGUUGCGUUGACACUGGUAACAAAUGUCAUUGAUUCAUCAUCAAUUUGUCGGUGGUAAGUUAAAAUAAUUGAUCGGUGAAGUAAGUCUAUCUUGUUGGAGCA
Molecule: long non-coding RNA, 787 nt
Organism: Musa acuminata AAA Group (dessert banana)
Lineage: Eukaryota; Viridiplantae; Streptophyta; Magnoliopsida; Zingiberales; Musaceae
Exons: 2
Source: RefSeq, a predicted model, not a curated record